UUGUACCCUGGUAGUCCACGCUGUAAACGAUGUCGACUUGGAGGUUGUUCCCUUGAGGAGUGGCUUCCGGAGCUAACGCGUUAAGUCGACCGCCUGGGGAGUACGGCCGCAAGGUUAAAACUCAAAUGAAUUGACGGGGGCCCGCACAAGCGGUGGAGCAUGUGGUUUAAUUCGAUGCAACGCGAAGAACCUUACCUACUCUUGACAUCCAGAGAACUUAGCAGAGAUGCUUUGGUGCCUUCGGGAACUCUGAGACAGGUGCUGCAUGGCUGUCGUCAGCUCGUGUUGUGAAAUGUUGGGUUAAGUCCCGCAACGAGCGCAACCCUUAUCCUUUGUUGCCAGCGAUUCGGUCGGGAACUCAAAGGAGACUGCCAGUGAUAAACUGGAGGAAGGUGGGGAUGACGUCAAGUCAUCAUGGCCCUUACGAGUAGGGCUACACACGUGCUACAAUGGCAUAUACAAAGAGAAGCGACCUCGCGAGAGCAAGCGGACCUCAUAAAGUAUGUCGUAGUCCGGAUUGGAGUCUGCAACUCGACUCCAUGAAGUCGGAAUCGCUAGUAAUCGUGGAUCAGAAUGCCACGGUGAAUACGUUCCCGGGCCUUGUACACACCGCCCGUCACACCAUGGGAGUGGGUUGCAAAAGAAGUAGGUAGCUUAACCUUCUG
RNAcentral lists this ribosomal RNA (665 nucleotides) under bacterium LB-30. RNAcentral's name for it is "bacterial SSU rRNA". It matches the Rfam family "Bacterial small subunit ribosomal RNA", at positions 780 to 1445 of the family's 1533-position model. The record is from RNAcentral.